GUGAGGGAAAGGUGAAAAGUACCCCGGGAGGGGAGUGAAAUAGUACCUGAAACCGAUUGCCUACAAUCCGUCGGAGCCUGAAAGGGUGACGGCGUGCCUUUUGAAGAAUGAGCCUGCGAGUUAGUGGUACGUGGCGAGGUUAACCCGUGUGGGGAAGCCGUAGCGAAAGCGAGUCCGAAUAGGGCGAAUGAGUCGCUGGGUCUAGACCCGAAGCGGAGUGAUCUACCCAUGGCCAGGUUGAAGCGCGGGUAAGACCGCGUGGAGGACCGAACCCACUUAGGUUGAAAACUGAGGGGAUGAGCUGUGGGUAGGGGUGAAAGGCCAAUCAAACUCCGUGAUAGCUGGUUCUCCCCGAAAUGCAUUUAGGUGCAGCGUCACGUGUUUCUUACCGGAGGUAGAGCUACUGGAUGGCUAAAGGGCCUUACCAGGUUACUGACGUCAGCCAAACUCCGAAUGCCGGUAAGUGAGAGCGUGGCAGUGAGACUGCGGGGGAUAAGCUCCGUAGUCGAGAGGGAAACAGCCCAGACCACCAGCUAAGGCCCCUAAGCGUAUGCUAAGUGGGAAAGGAUGUGGAGUUGCACAGACAACCAGGAGGUUGGCUUAGAAGCAGCCACCCUUGAAAGAGUGCGUAAUAGCUCACUGGUCAAGUGAUUCCGCGCCGACAAUGUAGCGGGGCUCAAGCACACCACCGAAGCUGUGGCAUUGACACUUUGCCCGGCCGUACUUUGUGCGGUCCAAGCGUGUUGAUGGGUAGGGGAGCGUCGUGUGGCGAGUGAAGCGGCGGAGUGAUCCAGUCGUGGACGCCACACGAGUGAGAAUGCAGGCAUGAGUAGCGAAUGACGGGCGAGAAACCCGUCCGCCGAAUAUCCAAGGGUUCCAGGGUCAAGCUAAUCUGCCCUGGGUAAGUCGGGACCUAAGGCGAGGCCGACAGGCGUAGUCGAUGGACAACGGGUUGAUAUUCCCGUACCGGCGAAAACCGACAAAUAUCGAACCCUGUGAUGCUAAACGUUUGAAGCAUGCGCCAAUCUCUUCGGAGGGCGGGGUGUGUGGAGCGCGUGACCCGAGCAGGUAGUAGGUAAGCGAUGGAGUGACGCAGGAAGGUAGCCUCCGCGUGGCGAUGGUAGUCCACGUCUAAGGGUGUAGGGCGAGGUGUAGGUAAAUCCGCAUCUCAUAUGCCUGAGACCUGAUGGUGACCGCAAUUGCGGGAAGCAGGGUGAUCCUAUGCUGCCUAGAAAAUCUUCUAGCGAGGUUUUAGCCGCCCGUACCCCAAACCGACUCAGGUGGAUAGGUAGAGAAUACCAAGGCGAUCGAGUGAAUCAUGGUUAAGGAACUCGGCAAAAUACCCCCGUAACUUCGGGAGAAGGGGGGCCCGGAUCGUGACGGCACUUGCUGCCCGAGCGUGAACGGCCGCAGAGACCAGGGAGAAGCGACUGUUUACUAAAAACACAGGUCCGUGCGAAGUCGCAAGACGAUGUAUACGGACUGACGCCUGCCCGGUGCUGGAACGUUAAGGGGACGGGUUAGCUCUUCGGGGCGAAGCUCAGAACUUAAGCGCCAGUAAACGGCGGUGGUAACUAUAACCAUCCUAAGGUAGCGAAAUUCCUUGUCGGGUAAGUUCCGACCUGCACGAAUGGCGUAACGACUUCUCCACUGUCUCAACCACGGACCCGGCGAAAUUGCACUACGAGUAAAGAUGCUCGUUACGCGCAGCAGGACGGAAAGACCCCGGGACCUUUACUACAGCUUGGUAUUGGUGUUCGGUACGGCUUGUGUAGGAUAGGUGGGAGACUGUGAAGCGGACACGCCAGUGUUUGUGGAGUCAACGUUGAAAUACCACUCUGGUCGUUCUGGAUAUCUAACCUCGGUCCGUGAUCCGGAUCAGGGACAGUGCCUGGUGGGUAGUUUAACUGGGGCGGUUGCCUCCUAAAAAGUAACGGAGGCGCCCAAAGGUUCCCUCAGCCUGGUUGGUAAUCAGGUUUCGAGUGUAAGUGCACAAGGGAGCUUGACUGUGAGAGAGACAUCUCGAGCAGGGACGAAAGUCGGGACUAGUGAUCCGGCGGUGGCUUGUGGAAGCGCCGUCGCUCAACGGAUAAAAGGUACCCCGGGGAUAACAGGCUGAUCUUGCCCAAGAGUCCAUAUCGACGGCAUGGUUUGGCACCUCGAUGUCGGCUCGUCGCAUCCUGGGGCUGGAGUAGGUCCCAAGGGUUGGGCUGUUCGCCCAUUAAAGCGGCACGCGAGCUGGGUUUAGAACGUCGUGAGACAGUUCGGUCCCUAUCCGCUGCGUGCGUAGGAAACUUGAGAAGAGCUAUCCCUAGUACGAGAGGACCGGGAUGGACGAACCUCUGGUGUGUCAGUUGUUCUGCCAAGAGCACCGCUGAUUAGCUACGUUCGGAAGUGAUAACCGCUGAAAGCAUCUAAGCGGGAAGCACGCUUCAAGAUGAGGUUUCCAUGCCCCUUAGGGGUGAGAGGCUCCCAGCGAGACCACUGGGUUGA
RNAcentral lists this ribosomal RNA (2493 nucleotides) under soil metagenome. RNAcentral describes it as "bacterial LSU rRNA". It matches the Rfam family "Bacterial large subunit ribosomal RNA", at positions 503 to 2856 of the family's 2925-position model. The record is from RNAcentral.